GACGAACGCUGGCGGCGUGCUUAACACAUGCAAGUCGAACGGAAAGGCCCUGCUUUUGUGGGGUGCUCGAGUGGCGAACGGGUGAGUAACACGUGAGUAACCUGCCCUUGACUUUGGGAUAACUUCAGGAAACUGGGGCUAAUACCGGAUAGGAUCUCCUGCUGCAUGGUGGGGGUUGGAAAGUUUCGGCGGUUGGGGAUGGACUCGCGGCUUAUGAGCUUGUUGGUGGGGUAGUGGCUUACCAAGGCUUUGACGGGUAGCCGGCCUGAGAGGGUGACCGGCCACAUUGGGACUGAGAUACGGCCCAGACUCCUACGGGAGGCAGCAGUGGGGAAUAUUGCACAAUGGGCGGAAGCCUGAUGCAGCAACGCCGCGUGCGGGAUGACGGCCUUCGGGUUGUAAACCGCUUUCGCCUGUGACGAAGCGUGAGUGACGGUAAUGGGUAAAGAAGCACCGGCUAACUACGUG
RNAcentral lists this ribosomal RNA (468 nucleotides) under uncultured bacterium. Its description in RNAcentral is "partial 16S ribosomal RNA". It matches the Rfam family "Bacterial small subunit ribosomal RNA", at positions 28 to 507 of the family's 1533-position model. The record is from RNAcentral.